This 552-nucleotide ribosomal RNA is filed under the name uncultured archaeon. RNAcentral describes it as "bacterial SSU rRNA". It matches the Rfam family "Archaeal small subunit ribosomal RNA", at positions 325 to 879 of the family's 1478-position model. The record is from RNAcentral.
ACGGGGUGCAGCAGGCGCGAAAACUUUGCAAUACACGAAAGUGUGACAGGGCUAUCCCGAGUGCCAUCCGCUGAGGAAGGCUUUUACCCAGUGUAGAUAGCUGGGGGAAUAAGGAGAGGGCAAGACUGGUGUCAGCCGCCGCGGUAAUACCAGCUCUCCGAGUGGUGUGGAUGUUUAUUGGGCCUAAAGCAUCCGUAGCUGGCUGGACAAGUCCCCUGUUAAAUUCAGCGACCUAAUCGUUGAGCCGCGGGAGAUACUACUAGGCUAGGAGGCGGGAGAGGUCGACGGUACUUCUGGAGUAGGGGUGAAAUCCUAUAAUCCCGGGAGGACCACCAGUGGCGAAGGCUGUCGACUAGAACGCGCUCGACGGUGAGGGACGAAAGCUGGGGGAGCGAACCGGAUUAGAUACCCGGGUAGUCCCAGCUGUAAACGAUGCAGGCUAGGUGUUUGGACGGCCACGUGCCGUUCUAGUGCCGCAGGGAAGUCGUUAAGCCUGCCGCCUGGGGAGUACGAUCGCAAGAUUGAAACUUAAAGGAAUUGGCGGGGGAGCAC